RNAcentral lists this ribosomal RNA (508 nucleotides) under uncultured bacterium. RNAcentral describes it as "bacterial SSU rRNA". It matches the Rfam family "Bacterial small subunit ribosomal RNA", at positions 975 to 1482 of the family's 1533-position model. The record is from RNAcentral.
CCAGGCUUGAACAGCGAGUGACCAUUCCCGAAAGGGAACUUCCGCAAGGACACUCGUAGAGGUGCUGCAUGGCUGUCGUCAGCUCGUGUCGUGAGAUGUUGGGUUAAGUCCCGCAACGAGCGCAACCCUUGUUUGCUGUUGCCAUCAGGUUAUGCUGGGCACUCUGCAAAGACUGCCGGUGAUAAACCGGAGGAAGGUGGGGAUGACGUCAAGUCAGCAUGGCCUUUAUGUCUGGGGCUACACACGUGCUACAAUGGCCGGUACAAACCGUCGCGAUACCGCAAGGUGGAGCUAAUCGGAGAAAGCCGGUCUCAGUUCGGAUAGCAGGCUGCAACUCGCCUGCUUGAAGUUGGAAUCGCUAGUAAUCGCGGAUCAGCACGCCGCGGUGAAUACGUUCCCGGGCCUUGUACACACCGCCCGUCACAUCACGAAAGCCGGUUGUACUAGAAGUCGCCACACCAACCCGCAAGGGAGGGAGGCGCCUAAGGUAUGGUCGGUGAUUGGGGUG